UACGGGGGGGGCACGCGUUGUUCGGAAUUACUGGGCGUAAAGGGCUCGUAGGCGGCCAACUAAGUCGGACGUGAAAUCCCCAGGCUCAACCUGGGAACUGCGUCCGAUACUGGAUGGCUUGAAUCCGGGAGAGGGAUGCAGAAUUCCAGGUGUAGCGGUGAAAUGCGUAGAUAUCUGGAGGAAUACCGGUGGCGAAGGCGGCAUCCUGGACCGGCAUUGACGCUGAGGAGCGAAAGCCAGGGGAGCAAACGGGAUUAGAAACCCUCGUAGUCC
This 273-nucleotide ribosomal RNA is filed under the name uncultured bacterium. Its description in RNAcentral is "partial 16S ribosomal RNA". It matches the Rfam family "Bacterial small subunit ribosomal RNA", at positions 524 to 796 of the family's 1533-position model. The record is from RNAcentral.